RNAcentral lists this ribosomal RNA (465 nucleotides) under uncultured bacterium. RNAcentral describes it as "partial 16S ribosomal RNA". It matches the Rfam family "Bacterial small subunit ribosomal RNA", at positions 338 to 795 of the family's 1533-position model. The record is from RNAcentral.
CCUACGGGUGGCUGCAGUGGGGAAUCUUCCGCAAUGGGCGCAAGCCUGACGCAGCGACGCCGCGUGCGUGAUGAAGGUUUUCGGAUCGUAAACCUCUGUCAGCAGGGAAGAACGGUUACUGUGCUAAUUAGCAGCGCAUUGACGGUACCUGCACAGGAAGCACCGGCUAACUCCGUGCCAGCAGCCGCGGUAAUACGGAGGUGGCAAGCGUUAAUCGGAAUUAUUGGGCGUAAAGCGCGCGUAGGCGGUUUGUUAAGUCUAGGGUGAAAUCCACGGGCUCAACGUGGGAACUGCAUUUGAAACUGGCGAACUGGAGUGUAUGAGAGGAUAGUGGAAUUCCAGGUGGAGGGGUGAAAUCCGUAGAUAUAUGGAGGAACAUCAGUGGCGAAGGCGACUAUCUGGCACAUAACUGACGCUGAGGCGCGAAAGCGUGGGUAGCAAACAGGAUUAGAUACCCCUGUAGUC